AUGAUGAAGGGUCAAUGCAUGCCGAGGCUAAAAAGCAACUCAUUCAAGAACAAGAUUCCGUCUCCGAUUACAUUGUUAGAGCGUUUCAGAGAAGCUGUUUUCCGAUUAAUGAUGAUGUCUGCAUUUUCAAAAACUAGUGCCAGCAAUCACGGUGGUUCAGGUGAUGGAGAGAGGCAAAUUCGUUAUAGCCAGUAUGAUACUCAUCACAAUAGCGAAGCUGUAGCAGAUUGCAUUGAGUUCAUAAAGAAAAAAGCUGUCCUUGAUAUAGAUGAAAACCUUCACUCUUGUGCUAGUAGCUCCCACAACACGUCGGAGAUACUGCAAUCGAGCAAUUGA
Molecule: non-coding RNA, 336 nt
Organism: Vicia faba (fava bean)
Lineage: Eukaryota; Viridiplantae; Streptophyta; Magnoliopsida; Fabales; Fabaceae
Source: the annotation of a GenBank genome assembly